RNAcentral lists this long non-coding RNA (414 nucleotides) under Coturnix japonica (Japanese quail). RNAcentral describes it as "lncRNA (ENSCJPG00005021488.1)". Lineage: Eukaryota; Metazoa; Chordata; Aves; Galliformes; Phasianidae. The record is from RNAcentral.
GCCACUGGCAGGACACAGCUGGAGUUUAUUAUCUGUGUAUUCAUAAAGAAACCUUGUCUUCUAAUGUUCCUGUUUUGAUGCAGUGCUUUUGUGUUUCAUAGUGUCAGUAUUGAUUGAAGCUGAUUGACUUCACUCCUGCUGUAGAAUAAAUAAAUAAAAUAAAUUAAUUAAUAAAUAAACAAAAAGAAAGAAAAUCUGCCUCAGAAGAAACUGCGACUGAAGAUGGAAGGCAAAGCAACAAGUCAUCUGUCCAUGAACUGAGUAUGGUUACACGAUCAGCAGAGAGAAGAAUUUCUUAAAUUAUAAAGUGUCCUGGGAACAGAGCUAUUGUUACUGCCUAAUAGAGUGGAGAGAAAACUCUUCUUGUCUGUGGUGAGUGAACGACUUCUUCACUUUGAUAACUACUGCAAUUGC